AGAGUGGAGCGGUAGGGCGCGGCUAUCUGAAUUAAAAAACAGAUAGUCGAGGAAAGUCCGGACUCCGUGGGCAGGAUACCGGAUAACUUCCGGGAGGAGUGAUCCUCGGAAAGGGCCAUAGAAACGGAAACCACCUGCUUAAAGAGCAGGUAAGGGUGGAAAGGUGAGGUAAGAGCUCACCAGGCAUGGAGCAAUCCAUGCGCUUGGCAACCCCUAUCCGGAGCAAGGCCAAGCAGGGAUUGGGUGGCUCCGCCUAUAUCCCGGGUAGGCUGCUUAAGAGACUCGGUAACGGAUCUCUUAGAUAGAUGCCCUACAAAACAGAAUCCGGCUUAUCGCUCCACUCUCUUU
This 348-nucleotide RNase P RNA is filed under the name Thermosipho ferrireducens. RNAcentral describes it as "Thermosipho sp. JL129W03 RNase P RNA component class A". It matches the Rfam family "Bacterial RNase P class A". From Rfam's summary of the family: Ribonuclease P (RNase P) is a ubiquitous endoribonuclease, found in archaea, bacteria and eukarya as well as chloroplasts and mitochondria. Its best characterised activity is the generation of mature 5'-ends of tRNAs by cleaving the 5'-leader elements of precursor-tRNAs. Cellular RNase Ps are ribonucleoproteins. The record is from RNAcentral. Lineage: Bacteria; Thermotogati; Thermotogota; Thermotogae; Thermotogales; Fervidobacteriaceae.